Molecule: long non-coding RNA, 4881 nt
Organism: Ahaetulla prasina
Lineage: Eukaryota; Metazoa; Chordata; Lepidosauria; Squamata; Colubridae
Exons: 2
Source: RefSeq, a predicted model, not a curated record
CCUCCUUCGGCCCCGGUUUGCCCUACGCUUGUUUUGCCUCUGAGGAUGGACUCGCGCGCAUGCGCAAGGCUGAAACCGGCUUCCCGUUCCUUGUGCGGGUCCCGGCACCUGCGGGGGAGUCUUGAAGGCGUCUGGCGGGUGGUGAACUCGGUUAACGUUUGUGAGAUUGUCGAGAUAUCCUGCCGAGAGGUUGAUCAAAGCGCCCAUCUGUCCUCGGGUUUCUUAUCGCGGCCAUCCGACCCUUCAAAGCUGCGUUUCUACAUCCGACUAAGCCAAAUUGUGGCUCGCUUAUCAACUUGAUUCUACAGCAUGCUAUUCUGUCUCCUUUAAACCAUUAACAAGAAUUUGCAGGACCACUGGGGAGCCUACCUAAUCCAGCCCUGCUCCGGACUCGGCGCGAUCCUGCUAAUUAGGCAGGACAAGAGGAAGACAUCCACCUCUGCUCAAUUGAUUCCGUUUUGAAUACUGGAUGCAGACGGGACAAAUACAAGUGAUCGAUCACUGGGGAAGCAAGAAGAGAGCUGACUUCUACUUUUUAAAAAAAAAGGAAAAAACUUUUUCUCACUUUAAUUUAGUGAAGGAAAAAAAAUGGCAUCUGAGAGGAAGUGGAUUGGAGGCUGCUUGUGAGAGAAAGUGAAGUGCGUCGUUGUGGAUUCCAGCUGAACUGAAGCUCUCCAUAGGAAGCAAGGUGAAAGUUUUUAUUUUACAACCUUAAUUUGAGACUUCAUUUAAAUCAGAAUGGCUUCUAAGCCACCUAAAGUCCCUAUAACGAGGAGGGGGUCUGAAUCUAACCUGGAAGAUAUGUUAAAGGAACAGAAUAGAGUUUCUGAAGAAAGAUUUAAGGAACUUAUGAAUAAUAUUUAUGAGAUGAAGGACCAGCUUAGAGAGGAAAUUAAAGAGAAUAAUAAACAAAUUAGAGAAGAUUUAUUGAUGGCAUUUCAAGGUUUGGCAAAAAAUUUGGAAGUAAUAGAAGAUAAAGUGGAAGAAAUUAGCCAAACAAAUCAGUAUUUGGGACUAAGAACCAGAGAGAAAAAUUAGAGGAAAUAACGGGAUUUGAAAUUGUAAAAAAGGUUAAAUAUUUAGGAGUUUUUCUUACCUCAUCAAAUGUAAAAUUGUAUAAGAAUAAUUACGAUGUGUUAUGGCAAAAAAUUCAGAAGGAAAUGAAUACUUGGAAAAAAUUACAAUUAUCUUUGUUGGGGAGAAUAGCAGCUAUAAAAAUGAAUGUUUUGCCUAAAUUCUUGUUCUUGUUUCAGAUGAUACCAAUAAUUAAGAAAGACAAAAAUUUGGAAGAGUGGCAGUUUGGAAUUAAUAAAUUUAUAUGGGAAGGGAAAAAAGUGAGAGUUAAAAUGAAAAUAAUGCAAGAUACACGGGAAAGAGGAGGAUUAAAAAUGCCUAAUUUAAAAUUGUAUUAUGAAGCAGUUGUUCUUUCUGUAAUAAGUGAUUGGUUUAAUUUGACGGAGGAAAGGAUUUUGAAUAUAGAAGGUUAUGAUUUAUUAUAUGGUUGGCAUGCAUAUUUAUUGUAUGAUAAGAAAAUAGAUAAAGCUUUUAAGAAUCAUGUGUUGAGAAUUUCUCUUGCGUGUCUGGAAAAAAUAUUAUUAUAAGUUAAACUAUAAAAUUCCUAUAUGGGCAAGUCCUCGGCACACAGUAGAGAAUAUAAAUAUAGAACAGGAACAAGAAUUGAUUACUUAUAAAGAUCUUUUAUAUAAUGAGAGGGGAAAUUUACAGUUAAAAUCUUUGUAUACAUUAAAAGAAGAAGGGAGGAAUUAUACUUAGUUUCAAUAUGGACAGUUAAAGGCUAGAUGGAAAGAAGAUCAGAAAAUUGGUAUUAUUCAAAAUGAAGAAAAUUUGGUUAAACAAAUUAGAAAUCAAACCCAGGGGCAUAUAAAGAGAUUGUAUAAUGUGUUGAUAGAAAUAGACUCUGAAAGAGAUUUAAUAAAGGAUUGUAUGACAAAAUGGGCAUAGAAUAUUCAGGAACCAAUAAUGUUGGACACAUGGGAGAAAAUUUGGGUUAGAAAUGUUAAAUUUACGCAAGCGCAGAGUUUAAGGGAAAAUUUUUAUAAGAUGUUUUAUAGAUGGCAUUUAGAUCCUAAGAAAUUAUCAUGUAUGUAUCCAGAUACGCAAGCGAAAUGUUGGAGAUGUAAUUGUGAUGAUGCUACAUAUUUUCAUGUAUGGUGGACUUGUAAGAAAAUUAAGUCUGGAUUAAGGUGGAUUAUGCAAAAUGUUUUGAAGAAGAAGAUAAAGUUCCUGCCGCAAUUUUUUCUUUUGGGAAUAAUAACAGACUGUACAGUGAUUGAGACGAAACUGAUUUUGAACUUAAUAACAGCAGCAAGACUGUUAAUUGGACAAUAUUGGAAGAAAAAAGAAGUAUCCACAAUAGAAGAAUGGAUAUUGAAAGUUUCUAAUUUGGCUGAGAUGGCUAAAAUCUCAGCCUUCUUGAAAGACAGUACUCAAGAAAAAUAUCUAAAUGAAUGGAAGAAUUGGAUUGAUUAUAUUCAAAAUAGAUAUCAGAUUAAGAAAUUUCAGAUUGCCUUUGAAUGAAGUAUGUUUUUUUGAUUUUAAUGGAAGAAGUCAGGUUAUGCGAAAGAGAAGGAUUUUAAUUGUGUUAGAUUUUAAAAAUUUAAUGUAUGACUGUUUGUUUAUUGAACUCUACCUUGUGUUUGCUCCGGGAAGUCGGGGGGGGGGAGGGGGGUUUUGGAGGGAGGGGGGAGGGGAGGGGAAAAAUUUAAUUGUUUUUGUAAAACUUUUUCAAUUAAAAAAAAAAGAAUUUGCAGGACCACUGUAGACAGAAAGCAAUUAGAAAUAUAUCUGCUUAAGGGAGCUAGGUUUCUCUUUGGAGAAUAUACAUACUGGCUGGUCCUAAACCAGACAGGGAGCAAUAUUUAUGUUUCCAAAAGUAACAGGAAAGAGCUGCUGGAAUGGUGGUGGCAGGAGGAGCAGAUCCUAGCCUUUGCCCAGAGUGUGUCUCCACUGGACAGAGCCUUGCCCAGGUUUUGACUCGACUGGAGGGAAAGCCCCACAAAGUGGGUCAGGUUUGAGGGCAACAGCCUGAGGCUAAGGUAGGAGUGAGAGUUACGUGGCAUGCCACAUCUUGCAAUAGGACUCUUUCUCCACUGAGCCAGUGGCUACAUUACUCCUAGCUACUCUGCACAUAAGAGCCACCACCCCAUGCCCAGCUCCAACAUUCAUGGCAGCCUCAACCAGCACUGUGCAACUAUCCCUAGAGCCUAAGUAGCCAAAGAGAAAUGACCAAAAAGUUGCAGCUUUGCAGGAACUUUUUUUAAUAGAAUAAAUGUAUGUAAGAUAGCAUUCAAUGAUCCUCUUCCGUUCCGGUCUUCCGUUUUGACUGACAAGAUACUUUUCUAUCAAUCCACAAAGAGACUUCAGGGUUGUGGGCCUUGCAACGUUCUGAGAUUGCUGCUUCCUUGUUUUCUGCACAAAUACACGCAUGGAAGGUGAAGGAAAAGGAGAAUCCAUCUGGAUUCUCUGGAUGAUGAGCUUUGAGCUAUUACUUUUAGGAACUGGCAGCCUUCCACCUCCCCCGUGUCCUGCUCAGUUUGCACUAAACCUUUUGUAGUGUCAUCUUAGUUUCUGCAGCUAUCCUCCAUCUUUUUGUCUUUUGAGUAGAGUGAAUCUCAUUUUUAAAAAUAGCAUUGCAUCUGUUUUGAAAGCCUUUUCCCUGCCAUGCUAUCCCAUUGAAUAUUGAUCUAUGGCAGGGGUAGUCAACCUUUUUAUACCUACCGCCCACUUUUGUAUCUCUGUUAGUAGUAAAAUUUUCUAACCGCCCACCGGUUCCACAGUAAUGGUGAUUUAUAAAGUAGAUUUAUAAAGUACUAAACUUUAUAAAAUUUAUAAUUUGACAAUUUGACAAAACCCCUACCGCCCUCCAUGAAAGCUGGAACGCCCACUAGUGGGUGGUAGGGACCAAGUUGAUUACCAUUGAUCUAUGGUAUUAAAAUCAACCUUUUUAAAGUCCAAGAUGUAUCUUGGCUAAACUUCUUAUUACUUAGGAUCAGGCCUUGCAAGGAUAGUUGAUCAUGUGCCUUCCUCUGCCCCCAAUGGAGAAUACUGCCAGCAACACAAAUUUUCUACUUUUGGUAUAUAUUAAUUAUCUCAAUAAGUGUUGGGAUGAAACAAACACACAUACAUACAUACCUGUGGAAACACAGUUUAUAACAAACCUUAGAGUCUUUUCAGCAGGUGAUAUAUAGCCCUUCCCAACAAGGCACAGACAAGAGUUACAUAGAUUUCUAUAAAGUGUGUUUAAUGUUAGGAUUGAAGGUAAAUUGGAGAAUCUUGGAAACCAUCAAAUUUCCUGUCUUCUUGCAUUAGUGGUUGAUUAAGAUUUGUGUCUCUUUGAACGAUCAAUUUCUUCUUCCUAGGCUUUUUGCAGCCUAGGCUGAGCUGCUGUGUAUUACCAAAUUCUUUCUUAUCUCUUGAUGCUUUUUAUGUCCAGUUUUCCUUCCAUGACUUUUCCACUUCCCAUAAUCUCUCAUAGUAAUCAUGUAAUUAAAAAUAAAACCAGCUCCUAUGGUAAGAGUUAUUCAUUUAAAUUCCUCUGACAUAUAUAUUUAUCACUUGUUCUUUAUUUUAUCGAUGAAUCUCUAAUGCUUAAAAGGAAAGGGAAAAAAUGCUUUUCCUAUAUUUGUUUUUCUAGUCAGAGAAUUUGACCCUUUUGUUGCAGUCUAUCCAUAACAAUAUUAGUCACAAUGAAGUGUGCUCUAGAUUUAGCCUGAAUUUUGUUCAGUGUGUUUCUGCUCACUUAUUGCCUAUGGAGUGGAUUGCCAUUCUUCUACUUCCUCUUCUUCCAUUUCCUCUGUUUUCAAUUUAUAGAGGAUGCUCCCUUUUAUGUUUUUAAAAUAAGAAGAACUGAUAUCUUUUUUU